This 1249-nucleotide ribosomal RNA is filed under the name Candidatus Poribacteria bacterium. RNAcentral describes it as "partial 23S ribosomal RNA". It matches the Rfam family "Bacterial large subunit ribosomal RNA", at positions 1680 to 2925 of the family's 2925-position model. Lineage: Bacteria; Candidatus Poribacteria. The record is from RNAcentral.
CCUCAGGCGCUCGAGAGAAUUCCCGUUAAGGAACUAGGCAAAAUUACUCCGUAACUUCGGGAGAAGGAGUACCACCUUCGGGUGGUCGCAGCGAAAUGGCCCCGGCGACUGUUUACUAAAAACACAGGUCUCUGCUAAGUCGCAAGACGAAGUAUAGGGACUGACGCCUGCCCAGUGCCGUACGGUGAAGGCAAGUGGUUAGCUCUGGCUUGCCAGAGCGAAGCUACGAACUGAAGCUCCGGUAAACGGCGGCGGUAACUAUAACCGUCCUAAGGUAGCGAAAUUCCUCGUCGGGUAAGAUCCGACCUGCACGAAUGGCGUAACGACUGGGGCACUGUCUCGACGGGAUACUCGGCGAAAUUGUAAUACCGGUGAAGAUGCCGGUUACCCGCAGCAGGACGGAAAGACCCCGUGAACCUUCACUGCAGCUUGACAUUGGGUUUUGGCAUGGCACGUAUAGCAUAGGUGGGAGGCGUUGAAACUGUCGCGUCAGCGGCGGCGGAGCCACCAGUGGAAUACCACUCUUGUAAUGUCGGAGCUCUAACCUACACCCGUGAAUCCGGGUGAGGGACCGUGUCAGGUGGGUAGUUUGACUGGGGCGGUCGCCUCCUAAAGAGUAACGGAGGCGCCCAAAGGUUCCCUCAGUACGGUUGGAAAUCGUACGUCGAGCGCAAAGGUAUAAGGGAGCUUAACUGCGAGACAGACAAGUCAAGCAGAUGGGAAACCAGGGCUUAGUGAUCUUACGGUGCCGCGUGGAAGGGCCGUGACUAAACGGAUAAAAGGUACUCCGGGGAUAACAGGCUUAUCGCGUCCGAGAGUCCGUAUUGACGACGCGGUUUGGCACCUCGAUGUCGGCUCAUCACAUCCUGGGGCCGCAGUAGGUCCCAAGGGUUGGGCUGCUCUCCCAUUAAAGUUGGUACGUGAGCUGGGUUUAGAACGGCGCAAGCCAGUUCGGUCCCUAUCCGCUGUGGGCGUAGGAGAUUUGAGAAGAGCUGUCCCUAGUAUGACAAGACCGGGAUGGACGAACCUCUAGUGUACCAGUUGUUCCGCCAGGAGCACCGCUGGGUAGCUACGUUCGGAAGGGAUAAACGCUGAAAGCAUAUCAAGCGUGAAGCCCACUUCAAGAUAAGAUUUCCCAUCGGGUCAACCGAGUAAGACUCCUUCAAGACUAGGAGGUUGAUAGGCCGGGGGUGUAAGCGCAGCAAUGUGUUUAGCUGACCGGUACUAAUAGUCGAGGGCUUGUCCAACA